Tribolium castaneum (red flour beetle) is the source of this 6876-nucleotide long non-coding RNA. RefSeq lists it as uncharacterized. Lineage: Eukaryota; Metazoa; Arthropoda; Insecta; Coleoptera; Tenebrionidae. The record is from RefSeq and is a predicted model, not a curated record. The transcript is spliced from 2 exons.
UGUUGCAUUGAUUUUUCUUCGAUCUUACACCAAAAGACGUGUAAUUCAGUUGCUUUGAAGUUAAUAUCAGCCUCAGUGUUUAUCUACUAGACAGAUGUUGCUUUCAAACACUUAUUGUUACCACGGGUGUCUUUAUUUCUUGAUUAUAUUGAUAACUUCGAAAUUGAAUAACCACGUAAUGUGUAAUUUAAUGAAGUUACGCAAUAGGGAAUGAUCACAGGUUUUUACUUUACUGGGCGUAGAUGAAUUAUACACAUUGUUACAUUAAUUUGAGUGGAAAUUAAUUUACAUAAUUACAGAUUGAGGCAAAUUAUCUACGAUCACCUGGUAUUUACCACAACCGUAAAAAUUUGAAUGGCAUUUUAGAUUGGUUUGCUGAUUUUAUAAUAGGCAACAGUGUGGAGUCUAAACGUGAAUUACAGGAUUUUUCGAAAAAGUUGCCGUCAUUUCCUGGGAAAUUACGAGUGACGAAGUAAUUUGUUUGUUUUAUUGUUUCGGCUGAUUGCGGGUAAAUAACAAAAAAUGGAAUAAGCUCAACUUCAGAAUCCUUAAAAAAACUAAAUUAUCACUACUCUAACUUAAGGAUAAGUUUUAACAACAUUUUUAUUUCCGUAUGUAUUUGGGCUUGAAAUUGAAAUUGAAAUUUUUUAUAAAUAAAUUGUAAAACAAUGAAAAAAUUAUUUACUAAACUUUAGUUGCUAGUAUUAUCCUCAAAUCUUUUUUUUAAUGUUUUACAAAGCUUGUUAUAUGUACAAUCUGAGCUUACUAAAAGUGUUUUUCGUUAGUUAUAAAAUACUUUAUAUUUUUCUCUGUGCAAGAAUUUUUUUCAAAACUUUGUAUAACAAAAAUUAAUUAUUGUAAUUAAAAAAUAUUGCUAUUCCUAAAAUUAUUACUUGAAUUUUGUAAAGUUUUUUGGGGCUAUCAAGAGUUUUUUGCAUAAAACAUUAUUUAAUCAGCGCUUGAAAUAAUAUUUUUUGUGUAGCGUUUUAAUAUUAAUUAAUUAUUUAAUAAUUAGGAGUGAGGAAUUGUAAAAAAUACUCUUAUUUUGCAAAAUUUCGUCAAAAUUUCAAUUUAUAUCGACAUUGUUGUUUUUUGUCUUUGUGAAGUGAUUUAUCUUUUUUUUGAGCGACAUUUCCUUAAAUAUACAGUAUAUAAGUCGAAAAUUACCAAUACUUUAUUUUGACAUUAUUAGGGCUUUUUUGGUAGAUUCUUAUUGUUUUUGAGCGAGAUUUGAUAAAAAUUGCUAUAAUUUUUACAGAAACUGCCUAAAAUGUUUCAUAAAUUUGUAAACCUUAUUUGUGUAUGAUUUCUUUUAUAAAACAAUUUUUUAUGUUCACUUUUUAGAACAACAAAACAAAUGGAAAAAAAGGUAUUUUUUCCGGAGUGCUUUUUACGUCGCUAGCCAAUGGCGAGUGUUUCACAUUUUUCGACAAAAAUGUUUUUUAGGGUUGAGUGGAUUUUGAAAAAAAGAACAAAAAAAUUUCUUCAUUUUACGAUUUUUUUUAUGAAAAGCAAAAAUUUACUUUCUUGAAAAUAUAUUUUAUAGAUUGAAAAAGCCAGACAUGUCUUGCAGUAAUUCCCAAAUUAUUGGUUUCAAAUGCGUAUUUAAGCAUUUUUAUGCAAAUUUCAAUAAAUCUGUGUUCAUGUGGAGUUUUAAAAAUAACGGAAAAGUGCGAGUUUUUGCCGAACUUGCCAUUUAUUGAAAGAUCAUUUCCCCUUCGCAACAGAUGCAAUUCCGGUUCUCCCGAUCCAAGCUCGCAGUCAAAACCUAUUAUAAGCCAAACCUAUUAAAAAAAAUACCAGACUGCCGUUCAAAACUGAUGUUGUCGACAGCCACAACAAAUUACACGUGAGCCAACCUUGGAAUUAUUUAUGUUGAUUCGUCCCUGAGUUAUUUGCAAAAUUUCAGUGCCCCGAAAACUUUGCGAGACUUUGGUGAAACUCACUUAACUCCAAUCGGUGACAAAAUAAUUAAAAAUGCAACUGCAGUGAUACGUAGAUAAAAUUAGGCGUGAUGAAUACCAGCUUCAUUGUCAAGGCCAUCACCGAGGACCCAGAGGUCCAAGUGCAUGGCUGCGCCAGGAUUUUCCAUCGCGAUGGCGGCACGUAGGUAAAGUCACGCACAACGAAACGUGAACUACAGACUGAAAAGGGAGAAAAAUCGAAUUAAAGUCGAGAUAGACGCUCGCAAAACUGUCACAAAGUGAAUUAUUUCAUGCGAUUAGAAGAGCAAGGAUAUCGUCCAUAUCCGAUCAGAAAUAAAUUUGUGUAACAAUGCUUCAUGAAUGAGGUUGUGUAAUAAGCUUCAAUAAACGUUCAAAGCAUUCAUUUUUUUUAAUUUUUGGACUGGGUGUCUGAAUUUAAGUUAGCAAUCCUGAGGAAUUGUAUUUUGUUCAUUUAUCAAGUUUUUUUCAUUCAUUGAUGUUUAAAUUUCUGAUCAAAUCGGUUUGUCUUUCUUAAUUAAAUUGAGAGCGACGUUUUAUUAAAAUACCUAAAUACCAAGUGGAAAAUUAGAAAUACAUACGUUAUUUUGGCAUUAUUAGGUUUUUUUUGUUGGAUUUUAAUUGUUUUAUUAUUUAUUUUCGUAAAAAGUGUCCAAAUUAGAACAAAGUAGACGUGUGUACUUGAAGUAAUUUUUACAUUAUUUUGCACUUUUUCGAUGGGCUUAUCUUGUGUUUAAGCGAGAAAUUACCUGUGUUGCAAAAUUUUGCGAUAAUAUUAUCACAUUUGGUAUUUUUUACAGAAACAGCUAAAUUAAAUGUUUCAUAAAUUUGAAGACUCGAUUAUUAUGAGAUCUCUCUUCUAAAAUCAAUUUUUUUCUUCAUUUUCUAUGAAAAUUCAAAAACUACAAAGCUAAGUAAGGUAUUUUUUCCACAAUGCUUUCACUUUGAGGUAAAAAGGUUUUUGGAGGGUUUUUAGGGGAAAGAACAAAAAAUGUCUUUCCUUAUUUUCCGAGUUUCUUUUUGAGAGCGAGAACCAAAAAUUUACUGAUUUACUUCCAUGAAAAAAGUCUGAUUUUUUAGUCUUAUGAAAGAGAUUUUUUUUAUGAAAUUUUUAAUCAAAUUCGUUUUUUUCCAUAAAUUACAUUUUUGAGCUACUUUUAAUAUACACAGUGGAAUUAUUACGAAUACGUUAUUUGACGUUAUUGGGCUUUUUUUGUUAGGUUUUAUUAUUUUUGCGAGAACAACUUAUUUAUUUUCGUUAAAAGUGUCCAAAUUAGAUCAAAGCAAUUUCUACCCUGAGCUAAUUUUAACAUUAUUUUUCACUUUUCCAUUGGGCUUAUCUUGUUUUUAAGUGGGAAAUUUACCAAAAUUGCAAAAUUUCGCAAAAAUAUGUCCAGACUAUAUGAAAUUCAGGGCUUAAUUAAAUUUUAAUUCGUUGUUUGUUAAACGCGAAUGGACCAAUAAAAUUGGUUCAAUUUGGUCACGUGAUCAGUUAAUCACGCUUUUAAUUGGGGAUUAAAUUAAUGACGCUUCUAUAAACCGGUGUUUUUUUACAGAAACAGCUUAAAAAUGUUUCAUAAAUUUGUAAACUCUAAAAUUAUUGUAAGAUCUCUCUUAUAAAAACAAUUUUUUAUGUUAAUUUUUUGGAUGAUUCAAAAAUGUUCAGCAAAAUAAAAUCUUCACUGUAUGUUACUAUGUACUCUGGAGAACCAAAAUCUAAAAAUAAAGCAUGGAAAAACUUGAAAAUCACUUUUGAUGUUUUUCAUUUUGGAAGAACGAGAUAAAGCGACUAAGGGUUUAGAAAAAAUAUGUAAAAAAAAUAAAAUAGUCCUACUGGAAACUACCUCUUAAGAAUCCUUGAGCAGUUUUAGCUGCGGUUAUUGACGACAAAUUACUUACAGUGUUAUUCAAAAAGAAAACAAUAAAAUUAGAUUUGUAAAAAAAUAUAGUUCAGCUACUUUUUAUGGGCUGAUUUUAAGGUUUUUUUUUGUAAGUCAUAAAAAAAUCAUUGUGUAAACGCUGUUAUAAUAAAUUUGCAUAUCAUUAAAAUGGAACUAUUCUGCUGGGAUACAUAAUUUAUUUUAUACAGCGUGCUCAAAAAUUGGCGCACCAACUGAAUGGUGUGUGGUAGAGAAGUGGUUACAUAUAAAGGUACAAAUAGUAAAAAAAUUCUUUGUAUUAAAGUUAUUGAUAAAUAACGGAUUUUAGAUAAAUGAUAUGUGGCAACGUUGUCUAACAGUCAUGAUCUCAAUAGAAUUUGAGCGACAAUAAAAAUUAAUUAUUUUUGAAACCGUUUCCUAGGAAAUAAUUCCCAGUGUUGACACGUCUACACAUUGUGAUUUUUUGGAUGAAUUUUAAUUUUUUUAAAUUAAAAAAACUGCUAAAAUCUGAUAGUAAAUUUUAAAAUAAUUAUUCAUCGUUUUGUUACGGAACGAUUACCUGGUAUGAAACAUAAAUACAUAAAAAAAUAAUGAAAACUAAAGAAGUUAACACAAUAAGUUUGUAGCUCCAGAUUUUUUUACAUAUGACUUUAGGAAUUUUUUCAACAUUUUUCCCGUAAUGUGCACUUGCUUCGCAAUAACGUACCACUGAGUUGGUGCGCCAGUUUUUGAGCACCCUGUAUUUGUUUCGCUGUUACUUUUGUUAGUUUGUACUAUGAUUUUUUUUGGGUUUGAAAUUAAACUCGUAAAAUAUUAAUUUGGCAACCAAUCCAAUUUUCAUUCUUUUCCGACUUCAAAUAAUUAAAUCUACGUCUUUGUCCUGUCUAAAUUAGUCAUUGUUGCCAACUCAAUUUUAAAGUCAGGCGGCUUUGAUCACAAAUUUAUUUAUUAUACCAACAGUUUGGCAGAUUUUUGCCUUGUAGAUUUUCUCAAAAUGAAAAUUGUCUUCAACAUCUGUUUAACUAAAAAUAUCCAACAUUCACGGUUGUUUAAUAAUCAUUUUUAAUAAAAAAUUAAUGAAAAAUAAAAAAAAAUUUCAAGAGGUCGGUAUGUAGGCAAAAAUACCCACCACAACUGCGCUCCUGUAGGUAAGCCAUAGCAACAGCUUUGUAUUUUAAAGUUUGUUUCAAUUGUGUAUUUUCAAGGCUGUUCGAACCGAUCUAUCCGAAACGAUAUUCCUUUAUUUCAGAUUGGUUUUGUUUUAACAUUAAUUUUAAUUUAUUCCAUCACCGGACACGCGAAACGUUAUCUAAAAAUUAGACCUUUGUCAAUCGAUUAACAUUCACGUAAAUUCUAGUAACUAACCGAGCAUUCAUUAUUUUUGCCUCAACUCAUUCCAUGUUGGUAUAGUCCACUCGUAAUUCAUGUAAUUACACUUCGUACUUCAAUUUCAAACCCGCGUCACAGAUGCGCAAAUUGAUUUUUUUCCGCCAAAAGACAACAAUUUGCUUUAAUACCGGUUACUGAAUGCAAAUUAAUCCCAACGCGUGUUCCGACUGAAAUAUGAUCAUCUGGACAUGACGUGCCACUGUUUGUAAAUUUCAUCAAGUACCAAAAUCCUGGAUCCAUUUAUGUAUGAAUAGACAUCACCAGAUGUGUUUUUUUCGAUCCUAGAUACGAAAUUUAUUAUUGCGGUAGGUCGGACGCCAUCACUGCGCAUCAACAGCGAAAUUAGAGCCGAUUUUAUUUUUAGUGAGGCCGAAUUGUCUUCGAUAAAGACCGAGUAAUGGUCAUGGUUGGCUCUAAUAAUCCUCCAAGGACACAGCGGAAAACCACCCAAACUAAAAAUACGAACGUUUACGUUACAAAGUUCGCCCAAUGCAUUUUUUGAUCGCGAUUUGUUUGCUUUCGCAUUUUGACCGAUGAAAGUGCGGUUUAUUGCAGCCUUGUUUGUUUUCUCAUAACUUUGUGGGAAAAAUUCAGCGCGAAAUUACAAGGAUUAUGUCUUCCGUGGUGCAUUUACUCCGGCCUUGAUCUUGAACGUUCCGGUUGCCAGGGCGCAGUCUUUGCGGUCGUGGGUGCGCAUUCCUUGACAAAAUGCGAAUUUUUGCAUGUGGAUGCGAGUGUGCAAAUUACGUCAGUUGCAUAAAUUGUAUGGACGUUUAUGUAAUGGCUUAAUGAUUUAUAAAAAUAAAUGCAUACGUAGAAGCGCGCGCGCGCUAAAGAUAAGUCGGAAUUUUGGAUGCUGAGUUAUUCCAGGAAUUAGUGUUUAUUUACAACAAAAUCAUUAUUUCGGGUCACUCAAGAGGAAAAAACGACACAAAUGAGAGAACGGCUAUUUUAUGCAAAUUUGGGAACCGACAUUAUUUAUUGUGGUUUUUAUGAGUGUUUUGACACUUUUUUCAGGCAACGAAACGGAUUGCGAAUAUUAAUGACGAGCAAUUAUUUAUUGCAAAUUUUUUUUUACAAAUUGUUCCACACAGUUAUCGCGGUUCUAUUUUUGAUUAAUUAGUUGGGAUUAUCGUUUGUAAUUAUUUCAAAUAAACAGUGGACAAAUAUUUAUAAAAGUGGAAGUUUCCACAUUAGAAAUUCAGUUGUUGGGUAAUUAAUUUUGUUUAUCUAUUUUUAGCUAAUCUGUAGUAAGAAUAGAACAGUUUUUGUAAAAAAAAGUAUGCCACCAAACGUUUGAUUAAUUUGAAAACACAUUAGCACGUCACCAAUACUCAAAACUGGCAAUAAUGAUUUAUUUAAAAAUAUGAAAUUAUAAGCACAAACUUUUUUUCAGAAACAUUCUGUAUUUUUUCAAUUGAGAAUUUUGUUACUAAGGUUUUUAAUUGUUUUGUGUUAAAGCAGAUACUAUUUAUUUACUUUAAAGGACGUUAAUUCGACAAUCCAAAAAAGCGAUAAUUGGGAGAACCUCAGGCACUUUGAUUUUGCGUUUAGAAAAGUAGAAAGGCUGAGAAAUCUUAUUAGAACCAAUUAUAACGUACGAAUUUUGUGGGGAAGAUGUCACCACAUAAUUGUACGUAAGUAGUAAAAAGCAGUGCUUCUUU